AGUGAACGCUGGCGGCGUGCCUAAUACAUGCAAGUCGAACGGACACACAGUAAGAUUUCGCCUCUGCCGGUGGCGACUGGCGGAUGGGUGACGCGUAGAUCGGCUUCUUCUUUUUCGUGGGUGACAACGUAGGGACGCUGCUACUAAUACAUCAUAUAACCUACGGCUUAAAGCAGUAGUUCUUCGCGCUUUUCGCGAUUCAAUUAGCCGGUGCCGGAUUAGCUAGUUGGCUUGGUAAGGGCUCACCAAGGCGACGAUGCGUAGCUGAUCUGAGAGGAUGAUCGGCCACACUGGAACUGAGACACGGUCCAGACUCCUACGGGAGGCAGCAGUGGGGAAUAUUGGGCAAUGGGCGAAAGCCUGAUGCAGCAAUGCCGCGUGGGUGAAGAAGGCCUUCGGAUCGUAAAGCCCUUUUGUUGGGAAAGAAAAAAAGCGGGAGAAAACACGGAUGUUCUGACGGUACCCAAUCAGUAAGCACCGGCUAACUUCGUG
Molecule: ribosomal RNA, 492 nt
Filed under: uncultured bacterium
Lineage: Bacteria
Description: partial 16S ribosomal RNA
Rfam family: Bacterial small subunit ribosomal RNA
Source: RNAcentral